UGCCGAGCACUCUAGAAAGACUGCCUACGCAAGUAGUGAGGAAGGUGGGGAUGACGUCAAGUCCGCAUGGCUCUUACGCCUAGGGCCACACACGUGCUACAAUGGCCACUACAAAGGGCUGCAAUACCGCGAGGUGGAGCUAAUCCCUAAAAAGUGGUCUCAGUUCGGAUUGGAGUCUGAAACUCGACUCCAUGAAGCUGGAAUUGCUAGUAAUCGCAGAUCAGCAUGCUGCGGUGAAUACGUUCCCGGGUCUUGUACACACCGCCCGUCACACCAUGGGAGUGGGGUUUACCAGAAGUAGGUAGCUUAACCGCAAGGAGGGCGCUUACCACGGUGAGCUUCAUGACUGGGGUGAAGUCGUAACAAGGUAGCCGUAUCGGAAGGUGC
RNAcentral lists this ribosomal RNA (387 nucleotides) under unidentified bacterium sp. sbr-gs26. RNAcentral describes it as "bacterial SSU rRNA". It matches the Rfam family "Bacterial small subunit ribosomal RNA", at positions 1129 to 1515 of the family's 1533-position model. The record is from RNAcentral.